UUUGAGUUCAUUCUUUGCCGAAUCUCGUUUGGCAGAGAAUACCUCUAGAUUUUUUGCAAGGUGGCAAAUUUAGAGCAGCAGCAGAUAAUUACAUUAGGCCUCCCUUAACUAAGGGAGUUCCAUCUCUUUUCUCUGAUCUUUCGUCUUUGUAUAAUCACCCUGGGAAGGCAGACAUUUUGGAAUAACUUAUUCUUGUAUUUUUUCACAGCGCUCUUCAAGCUAAGAGGUAAUUUAGUAAAGGAGGAAUUCAAGAAAUUAUUGUAGCAUUUAUACUGAGCAUCAC
Molecule: non-coding RNA, 283 nt
Organism: Arachis ipaensis
Lineage: Eukaryota; Viridiplantae; Streptophyta; Magnoliopsida; Fabales; Fabaceae
Source: RefSeq, a predicted model, not a curated record